CAGGUAACAGAGACUACUGUAAUCAGCCAUGACAUCCUCUGUGUGGCUGAUGUUCAAAUAGUGACUACUUAUGGAGGACAUUUUUGCGCAUUAUUCUCUGUCCUAGACAGAGGCCUCAUUUGGCACAGUCCUCUGAGAACCAGCGUCCAGCAACUUGCCCUAAGUCCCUGCCUCAGCCCACUACCUCUUACAGGUCUGAUAAGAGGCAUCUUAUCAUUGGUGGGAUUACUCACAAGAUGGCUGGAGCUCAUCAAUUUCAUUAAUUCACUGUGUUUACAGAACCCUCCAUACG
Molecule: long non-coding RNA, 292 nt
Filed under: Homo sapiens (human)
Lineage: Eukaryota; Metazoa; Chordata; Mammalia; Primates; Hominidae
Description: HSALNT0118883
Source: RNAcentral